RNAcentral lists this transfer RNA (540 nucleotides) under uncultured cyanobacterium. RNAcentral's name for it is "partial 16S-23S ribosomal RNA intergenic spacer". The stretch from base 211 to 283 matches the Rfam family "tRNA". The record is from RNAcentral. Lineage: Bacteria; Bacillati; Cyanobacteriota.
CAGGGAGACAACAAAAUGUUAAAUAUUAAUUUUGUCACCUUAGGUCGAUCGGUAUCUCACAUUCUUAAUUAAUUUAAGAAUUUUAUUUCCUAAGUUUUUCUAGGUCACACCCAUCAUUUUUCCUGGGCCAUUAGCUCAGGUGGUUAGAGCGCACCCCUGAUAAGGGUGAGGUCCCUGGUUCAAGUCCGGGAUGGCCCAUAUCUCUAUGUUGGGGGUAUAGCUCAGUUGGUAGAGCGCCUGCUUUGCAAGCAGGAUGUCAGCGGUUCGAGUCCGCUUACCUCCACUGAUUACCACCUCUUCCAUAAUUUAAAGAAGGGAAAUUUUGAGUUGUGAUCUGAAUCUGAACGAAUCUAGCUUCCUAAUUAAACUUAAUUAAGAUGCUGGACUCAUUGAAUUAAUUUCAUUGUUUUCAGAGAACCUUGACAACUGCAUAGAUUAUUUUUAAAGACAAUAAGCAUCUUUAAUGAUGCAGAUUUAUUAUUUGUGCGAAUGCAUUAAUAACAAUUCUAUUAAGCUGAUGCUUCAAUUUUUGAAGUUAUU